Molecule: ribosomal RNA, 218 nt
Filed under: uncultured bacterium
Lineage: Bacteria
Description: partial 16S ribosomal RNA
Rfam family: Bacterial small subunit ribosomal RNA
Source: RNAcentral
UACGUAGGGUGCGAGCGUUGUCCGGAAUUAUUGGGCGUAAAGAGCUUGUAGGCGGUUUGUCGCGUCUGCUGUGAAAAUCCGGGGCUCAACCCCGGACUUGCAGUGGGUACGGGCAGACUAGAGUGUGGUAGGGGAGACUGGAAUUCCUGGUGUAGCGGUGAAAUGCGCAGAUAUCAGGAGGAACACCGAUGGCGAAGGCAGGUCUCUGGGCCAACUAC